GACGAACGCUGGCGGCGUGCUUAACACAUGCAAGUCGAACGGAAAGGCCCUGCUUUUGUGGGGUGCUCGAGUGGCGAACGGGUGAGUAACACGUGAGUAACCUGCCCUUGACUUUGGGAUAACUUCAGGAAACUGGGGCUAAUACCGGAUAGGAGCUCCUGCUGCAUGGUGGGGGUUGGAAAGUUUCGGCGGUUGGGGAUGGACUCGCGGCUUAUCAGCUUGUUGGUGGGGUAGUGGCUUACCAAGGCUUUGACGGGUAGCCGGCCUGAGAGGGUGACCGGCCACAUGGGGACGGAGAUACGGCCCAGACUCCUACGGGAGGCAGCAGUGGGGAAUAUGGCACAAUGGGCGGAAGCCUGAUGCAGCAACGCCGCGGGCGGGAUGACGGCCUUCGGGUUGUAAACCGCUUUCGCCGGUGACGAAGCGUGAGUGACGGUAAUGGGUAAAGAAGCACCGGCUAACUACUU
Molecule: ribosomal RNA, 467 nt
Filed under: uncultured bacterium
Lineage: Bacteria
Description: partial 16S ribosomal RNA
Rfam family: Bacterial small subunit ribosomal RNA
Source: RNAcentral